AGCUGAUGAGUUUUGAUUUCUGUUUUCUGUAGAGUUUCCAGUCUCUCUCAGCACCUCCUGAAUCUACAGACGUAAAUGAUGAUCUCUUCAGUUCUCUCGUCUCUUCUGAUGCUCUGAGAGAAUCUGUUCAUCAGCUGAGAGACAAACUGGAGGAUUUCUGCAAAGAGGAGCUCAAGAAGAUCUCAGACAGAGUCACAUUCACCAACAUUGUUCCCAGAACCAGGAACGACUUCCUACAAUAUUCCCAUCAGCUCACUCUGGAUCUGAACACAAUGAAUAAAUGGCUCCGUCUGUCUGAAAUAAAAAGAGCGAUUAUUCAAACUAAAAAAAAGCAGCUGUAUCCUGAUCAUCCAGACAGAUUUGAUUAUUGGUAUCAGGUGUUGU
Sinocyclocheilus anshuiensis is the source of this 384-nucleotide long non-coding RNA. RefSeq lists it as uncharacterized. The transcript is spliced from 3 exons. Lineage: Eukaryota; Metazoa; Chordata; Actinopteri; Cypriniformes; Cyprinidae. The record is from RefSeq and is a predicted model, not a curated record.